RNAcentral lists this ribosomal RNA (311 nucleotides) under uncultured bacterium. Its description in RNAcentral is "bacterial SSU rRNA". It matches the Rfam family "Bacterial small subunit ribosomal RNA", at positions 28 to 334 of the family's 1533-position model. The record is from RNAcentral.
GACGAACGCUGGCGGCGUGCCUAACACAUGCAAGUCGAGCGAGGAGGAGGAAGCUUGCUUCCGAAUCCUAGCGGCGGACGGGUGAGUAACGCGUGAGCAAUCUGCCUUUUACAGGGGGAUAACGCAUCGAAAGAUGUGCUAAUACCGCGUAAGACCACAGCACCGCAUGGUGCAGGGGUCAAAGGAGCAAUCCGGUAAAAGAUGAGCUCGCGUCCGAUUAGCUAGUUGGUGAGAUAACAGCCCACCAAGGCGACGAUCGGUAGCCGACCUGAGAGGGUGAUCGGCCACAUUGGAACUGAGACACGGUCCAG